RNAcentral lists this ribosomal RNA (1208 nucleotides) under Pediococcus pentosaceus. RNAcentral's name for it is "bacterial SSU rRNA". It matches the Rfam family "Bacterial small subunit ribosomal RNA", at positions 72 to 1260 of the family's 1533-position model. The record is from RNAcentral. Lineage: Bacteria; Bacillati; Bacillota; Bacilli; Lactobacillales; Lactobacillaceae.
UUGAGAUUUUAACACGAAGUGAGUGGCGAACGGGUGAGUAACACGUGGGUAACCUGCCCAGAAGUAGGGGAUAACACCUGGAAACAGAUGCUAAUACCGUAUAACAGAGAAAACCGCAUGGUUUUCUUUUAAAAGAUGGCUCUGCUAUCACUUCUGGAUGGACCCGCGGCGUAUUAGCUAGUUGGUGAGGUAAAGGCUCACCAAGGCAGUGAUACGUAGCCGACCUGAGAGGGUAAUCGGCCACAUUGGGACUGAGACACGGCCCAGACUCCUACGGGAGGCAGCAGUAGGGAAUCUUCCACAAUGGACGCAAGUCUGAUGGAGCAACGCCGCGUGAGUGAAGAAGGGUUUCGGCUCGUAAAGCUCUGUUGUUAAAGAAGAACGUGGGUAAGAGUAACUGUUUACCCAGUGACGGUAUUUAACCAGAAAGCCACGGCUAACUACGUGCCAGCAGCCGCGGUAAUACGUAGGUGGCAAGCGUUAUCCGGAUUUAUUGGGCGUAAAGCGAGCGCAGGCGGUCUUUUAAGUCUAAUGUGAAAGCCUUCGGCUCAACCGAAGAAGUGCAUUGGAAACUGGGAGACUUGAGUGCAGAAGAGGACAGUGGAACUCCAUGUGUAGCGGUGAAAUGCGUAGAUAUAUGGAAGAACACCAGUGGCGAAGGCGGCUGUCUGGUCUGCAACUGACGCUGAGGCUCGAAAGCAUGGGUAGCGAACAGGAUUAGAUACCCUGGUAGUCCAUGCCGUAGACGAUGAUUACUAAGUGUUGGAGGGUUUCCGCCCUUCAGUGCUGCAGCUAACGCAUUAAGUAAUCCGCCUGGGGAGUACGACCGCAAGGUUGAAACUCAAAAGAAUUGACGGGGGCCCGCACAAGCGGUGGAGCAUGUGGUUUAAUUCGAAGCUACGCGAAGAACCUUACCAGGUCUUGACAUCUUCUGACAGUCUAAGAGAUUAGAGGUUCCCUUCGGGGACAGAAUGACAGGUGGUGCAUGGUUGUCCUCAGCUCCUGUCGUGAGAUGUUGGGUUAAAUCCCGCAACGAGCGCAACCCUUAUUACUAGUUGCCAGCAUUAAGUUGGGGCACUCUAUGGGAGACUGCCGGUGAACAAACCGGAAGGAAGGUGGNGGACGAAGUUCAAAUCAUCAUGGCCCCUUAUGACCGGGGGUACCCCCGGGCUCCAAUGGAAUGGUACACCGAUUCCCUGGAACCCCGA